AGCAGUGUGGCUUAGUGGAAAGAGCCCGGACUUGGGAGUCAGAGAUCAUGAGUUCGAAUCUCACCUCUGCCA
This 72-nucleotide transfer RNA is filed under the name Ornithorhynchus anatinus (platypus). It matches the Rfam family "tRNA". From Rfam's summary of the family: Transfer RNA (tRNA) molecules are approximately 80 nucleotides in length. Their secondary structure includes four short double-helical elements and three loops (D, anti-codon, and T loops). Further hydrogen bonds mediate the characteristic L-shaped molecular structure. tRNAs have two regions of fundamental functional importance: the anti-codon, which is responsible for specific mRNA codon recognition, and the 3' end, to which the tRNAs corresponding amino acid is attached (by aminoacyl-tRNA synthetases). tRNAs cope with the degeneracy of the genetic code in two manners: having more than one tRNA (with a specific anti-codon) for a particular amino acid; and 'wobble' base-pairing, i.e. permitting non-standard base-pairing at the 3rd anti-codon position. Lineage: Eukaryota; Metazoa; Chordata; Mammalia; Monotremata; Ornithorhynchidae. The record is from Rfam by way of RNAcentral.